RNAcentral lists this ribosomal RNA (253 nucleotides) under uncultured bacterium. RNAcentral describes it as "partial 16S ribosomal RNA". It matches the Rfam family "Bacterial small subunit ribosomal RNA", at positions 524 to 776 of the family's 1533-position model. The record is from RNAcentral.
UACAGAGGUCUCAAGCGUUGUUCGGAUUCAUUGGGCGUAAAGGGUGCGUAGGCGGUGCGGUAAGUCGGGUGUGAAAUUUCGAGGCUUAACUUCGAAACUGCAUUCGAUACUGCCGUGCUAGAGGACUGGAGAGGAGACUGGAAUUUACGGUGUAGCGGUGAAAUGCGUAGAUAUCAGGAGGAACACCUAUUGCGAAGGCAGCUCGCUGGGACGUAACUGACGCUGAGACGCGAAAGCGUGGGGAGCAAACAGG